This is a non-coding RNA of Pelobates cultripes (western spadefoot toad), 674 nucleotides long. NCBI's taxonomy places the organism in Eukaryota, Metazoa, Chordata, Amphibia, Anura, Pelobatidae. The record is from the annotation of a GenBank genome assembly.
CCCCUCUCUCACCAGGAUGAGAUGCUCGAAUCAGAAUCAUAUAAUUCUUGGUCUAUAGGGCCUGGUCUUCUCAUUCCCUGUCCAAUUGGCGAUUAUGAGAUAAACAGAUUAUGAGAUACUUGCCCAAAGAGCAGUUCUAAUUGUUACAUAGGGUGAAUGGAACUACUAAAUAAAAGACCAUAGAGACUGACUGUCAGUUUUCAAACACUGUCCAACAAAAAGUGCAUGUAUAUGGCUGAAGGAUCCUGUUAUGAAUUAAAGUUAAUAGUUUUCUCAUUUUUGUACAUGUACUACAUAUAUAAGCAAAAUUGAUUUCCUUUCAAAACUUGAUGAAAGGAUUAAUAUGUUCUUUAAAAUAGCACUCCAAGAACUAUAACCAGUACAGCAUGCUGUAGUGGUUAUGUAGCUAAGAAUGCCUUAGGACUCCCCAUUGUAAGUAGUCAGACUAUUUGAUCUAAAGAUAUUACAUAGUUACAUAGCUGAAAAGAGACUUGCGUCCAUCAAGUUCAGCCUUCCUCACAUAUGUUUUUUGCUGUUGAUCCAAAAGAAGGCAAAAAACCUAGUCUGAAGCGCUUCCAAUUAGCAAAUAAAUUCCUUCUUGACCCCAAAAUAGCAGUCAGAUGUCUCCUUGGAUCAAGCAGCUAUUACCCCACUAAUUAGAAAUUAUAUCCCUG